Molecule: long non-coding RNA, 962 nt
Organism: Hyla sarda
Lineage: Eukaryota; Metazoa; Chordata; Amphibia; Anura; Hylidae
Exons: 4
Source: RefSeq, a predicted model, not a curated record
CUGGGCGUCACAUUCUACAGACAGAAGUUUUAGCAGGAACAAGUCCUGGCGCUACUGUCUGUGUGUCCAUGUGAAAAGUCCAAAUACAAGAAGUGUGAAUUGGCAAGCAGGGCUCUGUGCAGUGAGGACAAGGAGGACUCUGUACACUGAGGACAAGCAGAGCUCUGUGCAAUGCACAGGAUGGCCAUACAAGAAACGCACCCGGCGAGGAGGCCGGCGACAUCGAAAAUCCAGCUCGUACCACAGCCAGAGACCACAAGACCACACCUCAACAGAAAACUGUGCUGAAAAAGAAAAACUAGUGAUGGAUACGCGGAAGGGAAGAUCGCUCACCUACUCAAUAACACUGUUUCCUGCAGUUCUAUCUAUUGCAUGUCAUUUAAAACUCUAGUUGCUUGUACUUUAAUAGAUUAUAUGAUGCCUCAUAUAUAUUAGCUAUACUUCUCCAAUUUAUACUGCAUGGCACCGUAUGCAUCCGGGUGUGGUUACCUAUGGCAACACCCCGGACUUGCUUGGAGUGGCUUAAGUGUGUGUGUCAUUCAUUUGCCGCACCACCUAAUACCCCUGUGCAUAUUGCAAGUACGUAGGAGAUUGCUGUAUGGCUAUUAGUUGCAGUUGCCCUUCUGCUAGAUGGCGCCCGAGCUUCUGUUUUGCACAACACGCAUGCACAAGAUAAUGUAUACGUGUAACUUAGCAACUAGUUCACAUGACUUCACAUAGUGAUGUCAUGCCCCGUACCGGAAACGCCGAACUCCGGCGUCAGCAUUGGAAUACAGUGAACAUAGAGACAAUGGUGAGUGUAUCUAUCCCCCCGCCCAUCUGAAUACAUAUGAAUGAUGUCACAAUUGCACUUGAUGUAUAAUUAAUAGGAAUAUACGUUUUUAUAGGCAUAAACUAAAUGUUUUAAUAUAUAUGUACACAUGAUAUAUAUGUAUAUUCCUUACUUUAUAGCACUUGGCACU